AUGAAAUUAAAAUUAUUAAAUAUAAUUUUAUCAAUAAUAAAUAAACUUAAUAAUAAUAAUAAUAUUAUUAUUAAUAAUCUAUUAGAUUCAUUAAUAAAUAAGAAAUUAUUAUUAAAGAAUAUAUUAUUAGAUAUAAAUAAUAAAAAAAUAAAUAAUAUAAAAAGAAUAUUAAAUAAUAAUAAUAUAAAUAUUAAUAAUAAAUUACAACAUUUAAAUAAUAUAAAUAAUUGAAAUCUACAAAUUUAUAAUUAUAAUAAAAAUAUAGAAAUUAUAAAUACUAUAAAUGAUAAAUUAAUUAAUAAAUUAUUAUAUAAAAUAAUAACUUUAAAAUUAAAUAAUAUAAAUAUUAAUAAAAUUAUUAUAAGUAAACUUAUUAAUCAACAUAGUUUAAAUAAAUUAAAUAUUAAAUUUUAUUAUUAUAAUAAUGAUAUUAAUAAUAAUAAUAAUAAUAAUAAUAAUAAUUAUUAUAUAAAUAUAAUAAAUAAAUUAAUAAAUAUUAUAAAUAAUAAUAUAAAUAAUAAUUUAUGUAAUAUUUUAAGUUAUUAUUAUAAUAAAAAAGUAACUAUUGAACCUAUUAAAUUAUCAUAUAUUUAUUUAAAUAGUGAUAUUUUUAGUAAAUAUAUUAGUUUAAAUGAUAUAGAUAAAUAUAAUAAUGGUAUCUUAACUAAUUAUCAACGUAUAUUAAAUAAUAUUAUGCCUAAAUUAAAUGAUCAUAAUAUUUCUAUAAAUUAUAUUAAUAAUAUUAAUAAUAUUAAUAAUAAUAAAUAUAAUAAUAUAAUUAAUUUAUUAAAUAAUAAUAAUAAUAUUAAUAAUUAUAAUAAUUAUAAUAAUUAUAAUAAUAAUAAUAAUAAUAAUAAUUAUAUUGGUAAUAUUAAUAAUAUUUAUAAUAAUAUAACUAUUGAGAAUAUUCCUAUAGAUAUUUUAAUAUAUAAAUAUUUAGUUGGUUGAUCUAUUAAAUUUAAAGGUAGAUUAAGUAAUAAUAAUGGUAGAACUAGUACACUUAAUUUAUUAAAUGGUACUUUUAAUAAUAAAAAAUAUUUAUGAAGUAAUAUUAAUAAUAAUUAUAAAUUAAAUUAUAUCCCUUCUAAUCAUAAUUUAUAUAAUAAUUCUAAUAUUAAUAAAAAUGGUAAAUAUAAUAUUAAAGUUAAAUUAAACUUUAUUUAA
This 1164-nucleotide ribosomal RNA is filed under the name Saccharomyces cerevisiae (brewer's yeast). The record is from RNAcentral. Lineage: Eukaryota; Fungi; Ascomycota; Saccharomycetes; Saccharomycetales; Saccharomycetaceae.